GAUGAACGCUAGCUACAGGCUUAACACAUGCAAGUCGAGGGGUAACGAGAGGGAAGCUUGCUUUCCUUGUCGACGACCGGCGCACGGGUGAGUAACGCGUAUCCAACCUGCCCCCAACUAGGGAAUAACCUUGCGAAAGUAAGACUAAUACCCUAUAAUUUCCUCAGAUUUCAUCUGACGAGGAAUAAAGAUUUAUCGGUUGUGGAUGGGGAUGCGUCUGAUUAGCUUGUUGACGGGGUAACGGCCCACCAAGGCAACGAUCAGUAGGGGUUCUGAGAGGAAGGUCCCCCAAAUUGGAACUGAGACACGGUCCAAACUCCUACGGGAGGCAGCAGUGAGGAAUAUUGGUCAAUGGGCGGAAGCCUGAACCAGCCAAGUAGCGUGCAGGAUGACGGCCCUAUGGGUUGUAAACUGCUUUUAUACAGGAAUAAAGUUAGCCACGUGUGGUUAUUUGUAGGUACUGUAUGAAUAAGGACCGGCUGAUUCCGUGCCAGCCGCCGCAGUAA
RNAcentral lists this ribosomal RNA (506 nucleotides) under uncultured bacterium. RNAcentral's name for it is "partial 16S ribosomal RNA". It matches the Rfam family "Bacterial small subunit ribosomal RNA", at positions 28 to 523 of the family's 1533-position model. The record is from RNAcentral.